CCCUGUAUCGAAAGUGACUUUGGCAUGAUUGUUGCCAUUUUCAUCGAUAGUACAGGAAAAGUGAUCUGAACGCCUUUCCCGUGUUUGUUGGAAUAUCCAUUCCUGUCAAACCCUGUAUCGUUCAUACA
Molecule: small nucleolar RNA, 128 nt
Organism: Esox lucius (northern pike)
Lineage: Eukaryota; Metazoa; Chordata; Actinopteri; Esociformes; Esocidae
Gene: SNORA71
Rfam family: Small nucleolar RNA SNORA71
About the family: The members of this family belong to the H/ACA class of snoRNAs which bind a number of proteins (including dyskerin, Gar1p and Nop10p) to form snoRNP complexes. This class of snoRNAs are thought to guide the sites of modification of uridines to pseudouridines by forming direct base pairing interactions with substrate RNAs.
Source: Ensembl